Candoia aspera is the source of this 504-nucleotide long non-coding RNA. RefSeq lists it as uncharacterized. Lineage: Eukaryota; Metazoa; Chordata; Lepidosauria; Squamata; Candoiidae. The transcript has 3 exons. The record is from RefSeq and is a predicted model, not a curated record.
CCGGGCACCCCCGCCUCCCGAAUCGUAACACAUCCCCCUCGCUCGCCGAAAUUAAAUUUAUCCACAGCCUUUUGAAAGUGAAAAUAAGAGUACUGGGGAUCUCUGUGAAGAACAUCAGUUGAUCCAGAAUCAUAUUAACAAUCCUGUUGAUACUGGCUCAGAUGCAACUAUAAUAGGACAAGACCAUUGUAUCAGUUAAUGUUAAAUUCCUGAGGUGUAUCUUCGAUAGCAAGGUUUUAUAGCCUACCCCAAUCAGAAGAAUAAGAAUAUUAAAAAUACAAAGCUGUAAACACUUCCAUCAAGAUGAACACCUCCAGCAAUCAAGUAGAGUGAAAAACUUGGGGGAAUAGGGCUCUUUUGGCAGCUUUUCGGAAUGCCAUGAGAGAACUACACCGAAUUCCAAACUUUAGGGACCAAAACAGAAAAGGCUUGUCACCUGGUCCACAUCCCCCUAAUUUCCAAUAAACAUUUAAAAGAAGAAAAAAGACAGGACAGAUAAGAAAA